UGUCACUACCCGAUGUGAGUCGCCUACCCGAUGUGAGUCUGACAUGCGCAGUAGCGUUCUCGAUCGUCCGCCAUCUUGGACGGAUAUCUACGGCAACACCGCUUGGACAAACUACUGCUACCAUAGUCAGCUCCAUGCUUACCUGCAAUCGGGACAGUUUAAUCCCAGUUGUGGAAAAGCUGUGAAGUGGAAGAUUACUCGUUCUCAGAGUAAUUACAUCUUGAAAGAUGGCAGACUGUUCUACACUGGCCCAAACAAACUGUACAUGCGGCUGGUGGUUAUGUCUGAGGAGGAAAAGAGCGCUGC
Scomber japonicus (chub mackerel) is the source of this 306-nucleotide long non-coding RNA. RefSeq lists it as uncharacterized. The transcript has 3 exons. The record is from RefSeq and is a predicted model, not a curated record. NCBI's taxonomy places the organism in Eukaryota, Metazoa, Chordata, Actinopteri, Scombriformes, Scombridae.